GAUGAACGCUGGCGGCGUGCUUAACACAUGCAAGUCGAACGAUGACCCCGUGCUUGCACGGGUGAUUAGUGGCGAACGGGUGAGUAACACGUGAGUAACCUGCCCCCGACUUUGGGAUAAGCCCGGGAAACUGGGUCUAAUACCGGAUAUGACUUCUUACCGCAUGGUGGGUUGUUUAGAGAUUUAUCGGUGGGGGAUGGACUCGCGGCCUAUCAGCUUGUUGGUGAGGUAAUGGCUCACCAAGGCGAAGACGGGUAGCCGGCCUGAGAGGGUGACCGGCCACACUGGGACUGAGACACGGCCCAGAAUCCUACGGGAGGCAGCAGUGGGGAAUAUUGCACAAUGGGCGAAAGCCUGAUGCAGCGACGCCGCGUGAGGGAUGACGGCCUUCGGGUUGUAAACCUCUUUCAGUAGGGAAGAAGCGAAAGUGACGGUACCUGCAGAAGAAGCGCCGGCUAACUACGUG
RNAcentral lists this ribosomal RNA (466 nucleotides) under uncultured bacterium. RNAcentral describes it as "partial 16S ribosomal RNA". It matches the Rfam family "Bacterial small subunit ribosomal RNA", at positions 28 to 507 of the family's 1533-position model. The record is from RNAcentral.